This 72-nucleotide transfer RNA is filed under the name Chloroflexota bacterium. Its description in RNAcentral is "tRNA-Arg". It matches the Rfam family "tRNA". From Rfam's summary of the family: Transfer RNA (tRNA) molecules are approximately 80 nucleotides in length. Their secondary structure includes four short double-helical elements and three loops (D, anti-codon, and T loops). RNAcentral also lists the same sequence under 1 other name. Lineage: Bacteria; Bacillati; Chloroflexota. The record is from RNAcentral.
GCCCUCGUAGCUCAGUGGAUAGAGCACUGGCCUCCGAAGCCAGGAGCGCAGGUUCGAUUCUUGCCGAGGGCA